UUUACUUACGUCAAGUGUGAAAGCAUUUGGCUAUUGAGUCUAAUUUGAUGCGUUCUGCACAAAAGUUGACACGCUCCAUUCUAGAGCUUGUGCCUUUGACCUUUCAAAACUUCAUCAACUUGUAUCAAGCAACAAAUCAUCCCUCUCAAUUUCUUUAUUUUUUAUUUAUUGUUUAUUAUCCAGCUGCUUGGCCGAACAUUUGUAUAGUUUAAAUGCAAUGAGAGAAUCAAUACUAUUAUGGAUAACCAAAAAUGACGUUAUCGCAGAUGUCCAGAUUGUUUUAAGAAAACAAUUGAUGCGGAAGAUACUUUUUGGUGCGCAAAGUGUGACAGAGAGGUAUUUACAGAAAAUAGCUACAUGAUAACUAUGGAAGUUCAAGAUGAAUCUGCAAAAACUACUUUUGUUGUUAUGAACAAGCUGAUAAAUUGGUGAAAAUACCGGCUCAAGAGGUUGCACGAACAAUAAAAUAUGUUAAUGGCAGAGAAGUUUUCCACGCGAUAUAAUUUUGUGGAAGGUAAUGAAGGUUUUACAACAACCAAAGUAAUAGAGGAAAAUUCAGACAGUACAAGUGCAAUUGAAUUUAAUUUUACAAAUCAGGUAAA
Asparagus officinalis (garden asparagus) is the source of this 602-nucleotide long non-coding RNA. RefSeq lists it as uncharacterized. NCBI's taxonomy places the organism in Eukaryota, Viridiplantae, Streptophyta, Magnoliopsida, Asparagales, Asparagaceae. The transcript is spliced from 3 exons. The record is from RefSeq and is a predicted model, not a curated record.